UGAAUUUUGAAUAUUUUUUAUUCAUAUAUUUUCUGUCCAGAUUAGGCACUUAAUAUAAAGAAAAAUUGCUUUGUUUAUUCUUGCAUAAAUUAUACGAGUAAAUAUAAAUGUAAUAAAGGCUAAUGUAAAUGUUUUUGUACAAAUAUUGUAUAUACCAUAUGCCAGGGAUAACCAAGAGAUCAACUGUGGUCAAUUGGCUUGACCACAGAACCAUUUAUAGUUGCUCCCAAGCCCUUGGAAAUAGACUUUUAUCCAACACAACUCAUCUAAUCAAAAAUUAUUUUGAUAUACUGAGUUGUUCAUUAUUUUCAAUUUGUAAUAUAAUGAAUUGCUUAUAUGCCUGACUGUUGUGAUGGAAGUAGGAAUAAAUCUAUUGCAUACCAGAGCUGGAUAUGAAAUCAUAUAAAUGAUUUAUCAAAACCUGCACUCAAUAUAAUCUUAAAAAAUUCAAAAAUAAAUGAG
Molecule: long non-coding RNA, 462 nt
Filed under: Androctonus crassicauda
Lineage: Eukaryota; Metazoa; Arthropoda; Arachnida; Scorpiones; Buthidae
Source: RNAcentral